This 476-nucleotide ribosomal RNA is filed under the name uncultured candidate division MSBL1 archaeon. RNAcentral describes it as "bacterial SSU rRNA". It matches the Rfam family "Archaeal small subunit ribosomal RNA", at positions 840 to 1314 of the family's 1478-position model. The record is from RNAcentral. Lineage: Archaea; Methanobacteriati; Methanobacteriota.
GUCGCAAGACUGAAACUUAAAGAAAUUGGCGGGGGAGCACCACAAGGGGUGGAGCCUGCGGUUUAAUUGGAUUCAACGCCGGACAUCUCACCGGGGGCGACGGCAAGUGUGAAGGCCAAGUUGACGACUUUGCCGGAUUCGCCGAGAGGUGGUGCAUGGCCGCCGUCAGCUCGUAUCGUGAGACGUCCUGUCAAGUCAGGUAACGAGCGAGACCCUCACCCUUAGUUGCCAUCGGAUCCCGCAAGGGAUGCCGGGAACUCUAAGGGGACCGCUGUCGAUAAGACAGAGGAGGGAGAGGGCGACGGUAGGUCCGUAUGCCCCGAAUCCCCCGGGCAACACGCGGGCUACAAUGCGUAGGGCAGAGGGCUGCGAUCCCGAAAGGGAGAGCUAAUCCCUAAACCUGCGCUUAGUUCGGAUCGAGGGCUGCAACCCGCCCUCGUGAAGCUGGAAUCCCUAGUAAUCGCGUGUACGAUUGU